This is a long non-coding RNA of Myodes glareolus (Bank vole), 1796 nucleotides long. RefSeq lists it as uncharacterized. The record is from RefSeq and is a predicted model, not a curated record. NCBI's taxonomy places the organism in Eukaryota, Metazoa, Chordata, Mammalia, Rodentia, Cricetidae.
GGGAGGCAGGAGGAAAUGGUGACUGGAAUCUCCCUCCUUCUAGAAGGUAAGGAUAACAGACUUAUCACCAUGACAACUGACCUUGAUGUCAUUGUAUUCUUCUGUUUGUGUCAUUGCCACGACUGAGGGACAAAGUCCUCUUUUGGAAACCACAGAGUCCUGCAUCAUUAGGGAGAUGGUCAUGUCACAUCUGCAAGAAAUAAAUUCACCAUGAGAGAGCAGAUCAUCUUCUGAACUAGAAUGUGUACUCCAUCUGAUCACUCAGUGUGAUGAUGGGUUUUGGUUGAAUCCCAAACACAACAGUGAGUGCCAGGAACUCCGUCAAUUUCUAUGGUUGAGUGGAUGUAUACACAGAUUGAUCCGUGGCGAAGAAAUGUUCAGAUUUUUAAAAAAUAGUUAUUUCACAUCCAUUUGGAGCUACCAAUGAAUCUCUUCCUAGAAAUGAAGUAAUCUCGAUAGGAAGAAGGACUUGAUUUUAUUCACCAGAGUGCAGACGAGUUCCUGGCACUGGCUGUUCAUCAAAUGAGUGAUGGGUGCCUUCACCUCCAGAUCCAAGGAUACUUUGGCUCCCAUGUGGAAGUAGCAGUUGGACAUCCUUGCUUUUGGAACAUUAUAUAUGAGUCCAAGGUGACCACAGUGCGGGAUGGACUUAAGUUCUCAGCGGUCCUCUGGCCCUCGAUUUCCUUUUGACAACCUUCUGGCACUGUUUGCCUCAAGAACAGAGUCAAUGCUUCUCUUCGCUUGCUUUCAAUUACCCACAAUCACCUGCAGUCUGAAAACAUCAAAUGAAAACUUCCAGAAGUAAGCAGUCUACAAAUUUUGAGAUAGUGUAUUAUACUGAGAGCACAAUGAAACUUCUACCAGGGAUGUGACCCGACCCUUUGUCCAGAGUAUACACACAGGAAGGAUAUGCUCACUGCCUGUUAGUCGCGCGGCUGCCAUCCUGAUUGCAGCAUUGACCAUCACAGUCUUUCAGGAAUGUGUUGAUAUCUAAUGAUCAGACAGUAACAGAAUGAUACUGGCAGUUCUGAUGUGCCAAUGAGAAGCAUCAAAGAGAGUCAUUAAAAGACAAAGGUGAAUGUUCUCCACUUAGAGAAAAAGGUAUAUGCUAAGGUUGCUGGAUUCAUAAACGUGAUGUGCAAAAUAACAUUGAGAGAGACCAUACAGUCACAUAGCCUUUGGCAAAGUAGUCUGGUGCUAUUGGACUACUUCCUUACUGCCAUUGUUCUACUGGUUUCUACACUGAGCUGUUUUGGGGUAGGUACGUAUAUGAAGAAACAUGCUCAAUUUCAUUUUUCGCUUGAGACAUCCAUAGACGUCUUGGCGCAGGACUUUUACUAUGUGCUGUGCUAUACUAUGGUCAGGCCAUGCACCACUAUAUGUCUCUCUGACACCUACUCAAUGUGGGCAUUUACACCUUGAGUUGCUGGCCGCUGAGUUCCAUCUUACUAGACAUGCCACACCUGUGGUUACAAGAGCCAAUUCUAAUCAUGGAGACCAAGAUUCAAAUAUCACAAAAUACCAAGGAGGUCAAAGUUAUGAUAAAUACUACCAGAAAAAGUGACACGGAGUGAAUUCCAAUUGGUUUUAAGAAUAAAAACCCUGAGUCAGAUUUAAGGUUUAAUGCUGAAAGAUAAGAGACACAGAGAAGCCAGCCACCUGUUCUUACCUCUAUCAAAUCCUCAGACUGAAUAGGCAAUCCUGCCUCCAUGAAUCUUCAGACAGAAUGCAAUGAGCUCCUAUCUCUUCCUGUAUUAUAUUCAUUUCUCUCUCUGCCCAGUCAUAUCUCUUCCGAU